RNAcentral lists this ribosomal RNA (1038 nucleotides) under Triticum aestivum (bread wheat). Its description in RNAcentral is "partial small subunit ribosomal RNA". The record is from RNAcentral. Lineage: Eukaryota; Viridiplantae; Streptophyta; Magnoliopsida; Poales; Poaceae.
AUGUUACAGCGAGGAUUGAUCGUACCCGAUGUGAGUCCCUUCUCGUCCCCGGUGUUGCUAGUGAGAAAAAAAGACCAAACGUGGCGCUUCUGUGUGGACUUCCGUCACCUGAAUGCAAUCACUAUCAAAGGCACCUGCUCCUUCCCCAUCAUCGAUGAGCUACUUGACGAAUUGGCCGGAUCAAAAUGGUUCUCGAAACUCGACCUCAGGGCAGGUUACCAUCAAAUCCGAUUGGUGGAGGAAGACAAGGAGAAGACAUCAUUUAGAACUCACAUGGGCCACUUCCAAUUUCGGGUGAUGCCAUAUGGGUUAGCAUUCGCGCCUGGCACGUUUCAAACUGGAGUCAAUAUUGUGUUGGGGCCACUGGUACGACAUGGAGUACUCGUCUUCAUGGACGAUAUUCUAGUGCACACGGCUACCUACCAAGAGCACCCGCAGCUGCUGCGACAAGUACUCCAGCGACUGCGCGACCAUGAUUUGGUGGCCAAAAGAUCUAAAUGCUCAUUCGUGCAGCAACACAUCAACUACUUGGGCCACCAUAUCAGUGACCAGGGAGUGUCAACUCUGACAGAGCACGUUCAGUCAGUGCAAAAAUGGAAACAACCCACAACAGUCAAGCAGCUGAGAGGAUUCCUAGGAUUGGCAGGGUAUUAUCGCAAGUUUGUGCGCAACUUUGGAGUGCUCAGUAGGCCGUUGAACGACUUGCUUAAGAAAAAUGCAGUGUUUGUAUGGACACCCACAACACAGGCAGCCUUCCAAGCACUUAAACAAGCAUUGAUCUCAGCCCCGGUACUGGCAUUACCGGACUUCUCCAAGCAGUUUGUAGUAGAAACAGAUGCGAGCGCAACAGUCAUUGGAGCCGUACUCAUGCAAGGGGGCAUCCAGUGGCGUAUCUCAGUAAAAGUUUGGCUCCACGAAAUUUGGGGCUGUCAGCAUACGAGAAGGAAUGCCUGGCACUUCUCCUGGCAGUGGAUCACUGGCGUCCCUAUUUGCAACACUCUGAAUUCCUCAUUCGCACGGAUUAACGGAGCUUGCUGA